This 424-nucleotide ribosomal RNA is filed under the name uncultured bacterium. RNAcentral describes it as "partial 16S ribosomal RNA". It matches the Rfam family "Bacterial small subunit ribosomal RNA", at positions 360 to 776 of the family's 1533-position model. The record is from RNAcentral.
AAUAUUGGACAAUGGGGGGAACCCUGAUCCAGCCAUGCAGCGUGUGUGAAGAAGGACUUCGGUUUGUAAAGCACUUUAAGUUGGGCGGAAGAGUUGUAGGCGAAUACCUUGCAAGGUUGACGUUACCAACAGAAUAAGCACCGGCUAACUUCGUGCCAGCAGCCGCGGUAAUACGAAGGGUGCAAGCGUUAAUCGGAAUUAGUGGGCGUAAAGCGCGCGUAGGUGGUUCGUUAAGUUGGAAGUGAAAGCCCCGGGCUUAACCUGGGAAUUGCUUUCAAAACUGACGAGCUAGAGUACGGUAGAGGGUAGUGGAAUUUCCUGUGUAGCGGUGAAAUGCGUAGAUAUAGGAAGGAACAACAGUGGCGAAGGCGACUACCUGGACUGAUACUGACACUGAGGUGCGAAAGCGUGGGGAGCAAACAGG